Sorex araneus (European shrew) is the source of this 107-nucleotide small nuclear RNA. The record is from Ensembl. NCBI's taxonomy places the organism in Eukaryota, Metazoa, Chordata, Mammalia, Eulipotyphla, Soricidae.
GUGCUUGCUUCGGCAGCCCAUGUACUAAAAUUGGCAUGAUACAGAGAAGAUUGGUCUUGUCCCUGCACAAGGAUAAUAUCAAUGUUCAUGACACCGCCCCUAUGAAA